Molecule: non-coding RNA, 868 nt
Filed under: Deosergestes paraseminudus
Lineage: Eukaryota; Metazoa; Arthropoda; Malacostraca; Decapoda; Sergestidae
Description: partial small subunit ribosomal RNA
Rfam family: Microsporidia small subunit ribosomal RNA (bases 447-861)
Source: RNAcentral
UUAAAGUUUUAUCCUGACUUUAAUUCUCAGUUUUAAAUUGAAGUACAUGUAAAUUUUAGUAAGACUAUAUUUAAAACAAUUAUAAAUCUUAAUGAUAUUGUUUGGUUUUAUUUUUAAAAAAAAUUUAUAAUAAAUUAAUCCUCAGUGUUCAGUGUUAAUUACAAUAAACGAAAGUUUGAAUUAGUUAUUUUAAAUAAUUAUAAUGACCGGUUAAAAUUUGUGCCAGCAGCCGCGGUUAGACUGAAGGUUAAAUUGAGAAAUUAUUGGUUAAAAGUAAUUAAAUGAAAAUAUAAGUAAAAUAAAAAAUUUGUGUUAAUAAAAGGUGAAAUUGAGUUUUUAAAUUAGCAAAUUAUUUAAAAGCUUAAAUGAGUAUUGAAGUUACUAAGAUAAAGAUAUAAACUAGGAUUAGAUACCCUAUUAUACUUUAUUUUAAAUUAUUAUUACCUGGGUAAUAAACAGCUAUAAUCUUGAAACUCAAAGGAUUUGGCGGUAGCUUAGUCUGCUUAGAGGAACCUGUCCUAUAAACGACAAACCACGAAUUAUCUUACCUUGUUUUGUAAAUGCAACAGUUUGUAUACCGUCAUUAUCAGAUAACUUUAUUAAAACACUAGUUAUUGUAAUAAGAGAUUCUUAAAAUAUUAGAUCAAGGUGCAGCUAAUAACAAGGCAGAGAUGGGUUACAAUAAAUAAAAUUAUAACGAAUGAAAAGUGUAAAUUCUUUUUUAAAGGAGGAUUUAAAUGUAAGAGUAUUUUAAUAAGUUACUUUGACUUUAGCUCUAAGUUAUGUACACAUCGCCCGUCGCUCUCGUCAAUUAAAGCGAGAUAAGUCGUAACAUAGUAGGUGUACUGGAAAGUGUCCCUAGAGAGCA